Molecule: long non-coding RNA, 771 nt
Organism: Vicia villosa (hairy vetch)
Lineage: Eukaryota; Viridiplantae; Streptophyta; Magnoliopsida; Fabales; Fabaceae
Exons: 5
Source: RefSeq, a predicted model, not a curated record
UACUUCGUUUAGCAAUCUCAAAAUCCAUUCUCUUAUUCGGUCUCAGCAGAACCGUCAGCCUUCCACGCAUAGACUAUACCCUAUGAUGAUUGCUCGCCCUAAGCAGUCUGAUGUCCGUCGUCCUCCUCCAUGCCUCUUUGUUAUUUGUAAGGAAACGAUAAGAAGUUUGAUUUUCGUGAAAAGGAGGGAUUUGUUGAAGGUUGGUGAGAAAAGUAUUAUGGCUCUCCUUUAAACAUGAGAUUUUUUUUGUUGGUGUUGAAGAGCAACCAAGAACAAACCCUUUUUGUUAAUUAAGUAUUCGUUAAUGGCUUCUCUCGGUGAUUCAAGCAAGGGCAUCCUGUCAUUAAAUAUAAGUGGGAUUCCCAUACUCAUAUUUUCUAUAUUUGAUUAUAUGUAAAUUGACAGCAUCAAGAUACUUAUAUUUAAUCUCUUUUUCCAGCUUUUUGACUAAUUGAGGUUUUUUCCGACGCCGCUGACAGCCAUGAUCAUGAGAAUAUCAUUGUUGCUUGAAGCCAUGUGGUGCAGAGAUUAGAUACGGUGUCACUGCAGCUGAGAGGCUUUUGGAAUUGUAUCAUGGAAAGUGGGAGCAAAAUGUAGAUUAAGUCUUUUAAGAAAUGGUUUAUUAAGGUUUUUUGUGUGGGAGUUUAAUUGGGUAAACCAUCUUUUUAGAUUUAAGGAAAUAAUAUGUGAAGUGGUUUUUUUGCCCUGUGAUGUUGAAGACAAUAGUGGGAAGUUUUGUUGGUAUUAAAAGUUUUCAUACUGUUUCUUAAA